This 448-nucleotide ribosomal RNA is filed under the name uncultured bacterium. Its description in RNAcentral is "partial 16S ribosomal RNA". It matches the Rfam family "Bacterial small subunit ribosomal RNA", at positions 328 to 793 of the family's 1533-position model. The record is from RNAcentral.
GGCCCAGACUCCUACGGGAGGCAGCAGUGGGGGAUAUUGCACAAUGGGGGAAACCCUGAUGCAGCGACGCCGCGUGGGUGAAGAAGCGCCUCGGCGCGUAAAGCCCUGUCAGCAGGGAAGAAAAUGACGGUACCUGAAGAAGAAGCCCCGGCUAACUACGUGCCAGCAGCCGCGGUAAUACGUAGGGGGCGAGCGUUAUCCGGAUUCACUGGGUGUAAAGGGAGCGUAGACGGCCAAGCAAGCCAGGGGUGAAAGCCCGGGGCCCAACCCCGGGACUGCCCUUGGAACUGCUUGGCUGGAGUGCGGGAGGGGCAGGCGGAAUUCCUGGUGUAGCGGUGAAAUGCGUAGAUAUCAGGAGGAACACCAGUGGCGAAGGCGGCUUACUGGACUGUAACUGACGUUGAGGCUCGAAAGCGUGGGGAGCAAACAGGAUUAGAUACCCCAGUAC